This is a non-coding RNA of Picea glauca (white spruce), 80 nucleotides long. NCBI's taxonomy places the organism in Eukaryota, Viridiplantae, Streptophyta, Pinopsida, Pinales, Pinaceae. The record is from Rfam.
GCCGCCAUGGUGAAAUUGGUAGACACGCUUCUCUUAGGAAGUAGUGCGAGAGCAUCUCAGUUCAAAUCCGAGUGGUGGCA